GGCUGCGGAGCCCGGCGGGGCUGCCCUGGGGUCGGAACGGCUUCUGGCCCCGGGCUGCCCUCGCUGCCCCUUGCUUCUCCACUCGGGCCCUUGGGGCAGGUGAUCGAAUGCUGUAGUUGCCCGGGUGGAAUGAGGCGCUGGCUGGAAGUAAGCGGUCGUGAGAACAUGGCGGUUCCCUGAGGUGCCCCUGUCAGCCCUGACCACCGGAGUGCGGGGGUUGAUUCUUGGAUUGUAAAACACUGAUGAUCAAUCUGUGAAAUGAAGGAGAAUUGUGAUUACAGCCCUUCAAGCAGUCCUGUAACCUUCAAGUAGCUCUUAACUAGCAAGAUAACUGUAUAAGUUAUGGUGGCUAUUCUAUGUUUUGGGUCGGUCUGCACUCAUAACUUUGAAAGCAAGUUAAAUCAAUACUGCUGGUGCAGCUGUAACUUUCCAGAAACUCGCCAAACUCAUAUCAUUUGAGAAAUGGCUUUCAACUUUGCUGCAUGAUUAAAUCUAGACACCUAAAAAUCUGUAAAGAUGUAGUAAAGAUAGAGACCUCUGUGUAGUGUAAGUCUACUAACAACACUUUCAGGUCGUGGUGGUUUUGAUUAACUUCUUAAGAGUUGAGUCACGGCCCUAUGUUCUGUCUACCACAAGCUGAAACCACUGCCGGGAGGAAUACUUAUUACAGAAAUAAGUUAAGUACAUGCUUGUGUAAUUUUCCAUGUAUUGAGCUGUUUGGUUUUUGUUUGGUUGUUUUUCGUCUCAGAUUGUAAGGGAAAACAUUUUUACAUAAGACAGUAGAUGUUCAGAAGGAGAAUACAUGUUGAGACAAUUCAGUAGUUAUGGCAAAGGAUAAGAAGAAAGAUGGCAAGAAGGCAGAAAAGUCUUCACGCCCUCCUAUUCCUUCACAAGAAGUUACAGCUGAGAGCAGUGCUACAAAGCUGACAGAUUUGCCGACCUUGGUGAAUGAAGAGGAAGAAACAGGGGCAAGUCCAGUGAUACAGGAUAAAGAACCAGAGGAGGCAGAGGAACCUCCAGUCCAAGAUGUUCCUCAAUACUACGAGGAGCCUGUUCUUAUUCAACUUAUUGUAAAAAGCUAUGAAGGUGAAAAAGUCCAUGGAUUGUAUGAGGGUAAAGGAUUUGCAUGUUUUGAGGGAGGAAAUACAUACAAGGGCAUGUUUUCUGAAGGCCUUAUGCAUGGACAAGGGACUUACACAUGGGCUGAUGGAGUGAAGUACGAGGGAACAUUUGUUAAGAACGUGCAGAUGUUUAAUGGCCGUUAUACAUGGAAUGAUGGCAGCAUUUAUGAAGGAUCAAUCAAGGAUGGAGUUAGGCAUGGAUUUGGAUUUUUCCGGAGCGGUACUCAUCCUAUUUCUUACAUUGGCUAUUGGUGUAAAGGCAAAAGACAUGGAAAGGGUACCAUUUAUUAUGACCAGGAACAUACCUCUUGGUAUUCAGGUGACUGGGUAAAUGAUGUCAAAGAAGGAUGGGGAAUGAGAUGCUAUAAGUCUGGAAAUAUCUAUGAAGGUCAGUGGGAGAAAAAUGUACGGCAUGGAAAAGGAAGAAUGAGAUGGUUGACAGCUAAUCAAGAGUAUAUGGGACAGUGGGUGCAUGGCAUACAGCAUGGGUAUGGCAGCCACAUCUGGUUUUUGAAGAGAAUGCCUGUGUCUCAGUAUCCUUUAAGGAAUGAAUACAUAGGUGAUUUUGUAAAUGGGGAACGCCAUGGACACGGGAAGUUCAUAUAUGCCAGUGGAGCAGUGUAUGAUGGUGAAUGGGUUUGUAAUAAGAAGCAUGGCAAGGGCAAGUUUGUCUUCAAGAACGGUCGUGUUUAUGAAGGAGAGUUCAUAGAUGAUAACAUGGUGGAAUAUCCUGCUUUUCUAGUGAAUGCAAUGAAUGUGAAAGGGCUGAAUUCCAUUUGCACAGAAAGUCAUUUUGGCACUGAAAACACCACAAUCAUCAGUGGCUCAGAAGAUACUUCUCUUCUGGAAUUCAGUACUGAGUUGGAUAUAUCUUUACUGCUUGACUUGUUGCCAGAGGAAGAGAGAUGGGAAGAACUGAAACAAGUAGAAUUUGCCGUGUUGAGGCAUAUUACAGAACUGAGAAGAAUUUACACCUUCUACAGUAGCUUAGGCUGUGAUCAUUCUUUUGACAACACCUUCCUCAUGACGAAGCUCCAAUUUUGGAGGUUUCUGAAGGACUGCCAGUUUCAUCACUCCAACAUAAGUCUUGCUGAAAUGGAUCGGAUAUUGAGUGGUAAGAAAACACCAGUUGAGGAGAUACAUUGUCCACAUGAGACUUUACUAUUCAGAACGUUUUUAUCUUACCUUAUUCGCCUAGCAUUUCAUAUCUAUCGUGAAGAACACAAAGAGAACAGUCCUUAUCUGAGUAAGUGUUUCUUAGAAACGAUGUCCAGGAACGUUAUUCCCUCUGCCUGUUAUGUCCAAGGUAUCUUAUUUUCUGGAGAAAGAUGUACAGUUUUGGUCAUGAGCAGCUACAUUGACAAAUGCUGGGAAAUAUACAGAGCCUUUUGUAGACCAAGCACCAGACCUCCAUUUGAGCUCACAAUGAAAAUGAGGCACUUCCUUUGGAUGUUGAACGAUUUUAAACUUCUCAGCAAACAAUUAACUCCUUCAAGACUUGUGGAAAUACUUGUCAAAGAUGGUCCCUCUCUGCCUGGUAGCAGUAACACCAACCUGGAGCUGGAGUUAGUUUUUCUGGAAUUUCUCGAAGCUCUUCUUGCCUGUGCGUUGGUGUAUGUUACCAGUGAUAUGAUUAAGGAGCAAGAAGCUCAUGAGAAUGAGAGCAGAAGUAGCUUUAGAAUGGAGGUUCUCUCCAAGAAAACCACAUAUGUAUCUCUAUUCCCAGACUAUUCUCCAUCCCAGUGCACGUACAAUGGAACUGUAUUUGGUACAGACACGAAUGAUGACAUUUCUGAGGCACCUGAGCUUUACUCAUUAUUGUCUUCAAACAAAAGUUUCAUAUCACAGGAUGAAUUAAAGAAACAUGAGAGGCCUUCUGAAGACACAGAGCAUCCUCUUCAGGAAUUUCUGAUGGACAGGAGAUUGCAGUCUGCACUGUCUCUUUAUUCAAAACAAAUUUUUCCUCAGUACGGAAGUAUUUCAAGCAUGGAUCUAGCUGUAAGUACGAGAUACUACCCUUUCAUUUCACACAACUCAUGGAGAUACCGUUGUUCCAUCAAUAGUUCCAUCAUCGUUGAGCUGGGAUGCAGAAAAAGAACAAAAUACCUGUCCAACAAAGGAAUUGACAGGUGAAUCAAAAGAAGCCAGAACUGAACAAGAUGAGCUUAGUCUACUGAUGUGUCAGGUGCAGAUCUUCUUUACAACUAAGCUCUUUCCUGCUUACCAGCAUGAAAAAGUGCUGUGGGAAAAAAUAAAAGAAAAUAGAAUACGAGAUGCUGAAUUAGCUGAGCUGAGAAAGAUCAAGGAUGAGGAGCUGGCAAAAAUUAUUGCUGGAAGAGAAGAGGCAAAAAAGCAAGAAGCAGCUGCAGCACCAAACCCAUCUGACCCCAAGAGUUCAGAUUUUAAGGAGUCAGAGGAGCCUGGCACAACAUUAGCACCUGCUUUGAAGGAAGAGGCACCCAGAGCAGUAUCCCCAGUUACCAAGGUGCCUGCUGGCAAAAAGAGAAGGAAGAAAUAAAUCAUCUGAUGAGACGUACUGAAGCUUGGAAGGUCAAGUUUUAGACUGCAUCAACUGCUGUGUGGCGGUCUAGAAUGAACUGUGUGUGGAAUAUGUACUCAUAACACAUGUACUCAUCCUUGAGGGAAGCAGCAGUAGAUGGUGACAGUAAACAAGAGCUACCUUC
RNA transcript from Strigops habroptila (Kakapo), 3805 nucleotides. It is a transcript of the gene named radial spoke head 10 homolog B-like, with no coding region annotated. The record is from RefSeq and is a predicted model, not a curated record. The transcript is spliced from 22 exons. NCBI's taxonomy places the organism in Eukaryota, Metazoa, Chordata, Aves, Psittaciformes, Psittacidae.